AAUUUAUUAUGAUUUCCAAACUUAGCCCCAAUCCCAAGCCCAAGCCCAAACAUAAGUAUCAUACUCUGGUCAAACCAAGUAAAGUAAGAGACCGAGCUUACUUCACAAUGGCGGUCACUUGGAAGACCUAACCUUAAGUGUUUUAGUUAUCAAUCAAAGAAGAGUUUGGUAGCUUUGGCAUAUUGUAAAGUAACUUGCAUAGUUGCAUCUAUUUAUUCCUUUUUGUAAUUUUCUCAAAAAAAAAAAAAAAAAAAUUGAAGUCGUUUUGGUUGUGUUUUAUUUUUUUGACAAAUAAGCUUUUGGUAUUUUGCUUCCUAAGUCCUAACUGAGACGGAUUCGGAUAUCCGGUGUUUUUGGAGGUAUCCGGAUCCGCCUCCGGAUCCGCCGGAUAUGUAGUUGUGAUCUCCGAAUCCGGAUCCGGCCACCCCGGAUAUCCGGCCACCGGAUCUCCGUUCAAAUACUCGGAUAUCCGCGGAUAUCCGGAUCCGCGAAACCAGAGGAAAAGAAGAGAAAGGGCUCUUAGCCACCGUAGAUAUAACAGGCGGAGGAUGGAGGAAAGUUGGUGGUGGAGGAGCAAUAGAGCCGAAAUCAAAAAGAAAGAACUGAAUCGAUGAAAGGACUGCUCCAUCUCCUAUGUCGGCCGUCGUGGAAGUGAAAAGAGAGAGGUUUUUUUUUUGUUUUUUUGUCGAGAAUGUUGUGGCUAUGGACUAGGGUUUGUGUAGGUGUUAGUUUAUUGGAUUUGGCCCAAUACUUUUAGAUAUUAAAAUUUAAAAGUCCAAUAACAUAAAGCCCAAAUCCAAUAGAUUAGCAUAGAACCGGAUCCGGAUAUCCGGUUUGAAUUUUUAUCGAUAUCCGACUCCGUAUCCGGAUCCGGUCGGAUACCAAAAUUCAAUAUCCGAAUCCGGAUCCGCCCUAUCCGGAUAUCCGGUUUUUCGGAUCAGAUCCGGAUUCGGAGCCGGAUAUCCGACGGAUCCGGAUAUUUAGUCCCAGGCCUAGGUACUACUAGUACUAGUACUAACUAAUGUCGCACGGAAAAUGCCAAAUCUUGUUAGUCUUAGUCAACUUUUUCGCUUGCAUUAAAACGAUCAUUUAUGUCGAUAUGGCGUUGUAGGCUUGUUUGUAGCCCCGGCAAAGGUUCUGGCUUAAUUAUGUGAAAUAAAGUGUAAAAUAAUGUAAUAAGUUCGUCGAUGGAAUCAUACUUGAAACA
This is a long non-coding RNA of Camelina sativa (false flax), 1207 nucleotides long. RefSeq lists it as uncharacterized. The record is from RefSeq and is a predicted model, not a curated record. Lineage: Eukaryota; Viridiplantae; Streptophyta; Magnoliopsida; Brassicales; Brassicaceae.